This 29-nucleotide non-coding RNA is filed under the name Mus musculus (house mouse). Lineage: Eukaryota; Metazoa; Chordata; Mammalia; Rodentia; Muridae. The record is from RNAcentral.
GACGAUUUCAGAGGUGGCCAGGAAAUUAU